GUGCUCGCUUCGGCAGCACAUAUACUAAAAUUGGAACGAUACAGAGAAGAUUAGCUUGGCCCCUGCGCAAGGUUGACACAAAAUUCAUGAAGCAUUCCAUAUUUAA
RNAcentral lists this small nuclear RNA (106 nucleotides) under Myotis davidii. Lineage: Eukaryota; Metazoa; Chordata; Mammalia; Chiroptera; Vespertilionidae. The record is from RNAcentral.